This 476-nucleotide long non-coding RNA is filed under the name Homo sapiens (human). RNAcentral describes it as "non-protein coding lnc-CDK17-3:1". The record is from RNAcentral. Lineage: Eukaryota; Metazoa; Chordata; Mammalia; Primates; Hominidae.
UGAGAGGGAGAUAAUCAGGAACAAUCUGGCUACACCAUAGGCUAAUCACAAUGACUGAUAUUUCUAGGGCUGCAUUAAUCAAGCCUUCAAGUAGACAGACUCUUACGGUCAGACCAAUUCUAGAAUGAUUCUGCCUCCACUGUGGGAAUCUUUUAUAAACGGAAAUUCUCCAUUCAGCCUUCCCUCUCUCUCUUAAGUGCAAAAUCCCUCCUAAUGGUAGCAUCUGUUGUCUGCGGCAAACAGAGUUGAUUACAGAUGCUCUGAAAGGAAUUUAAGUAUUUUCUCUUGCUACUCAGGAGGUGAUGGUGUGAUGGGAAACAGUAAUUCUUUUUAGAAAAUAAAAAACCUUUGGCUAAACAGUGACUACAAUAAUAAGAAUGGCUUGGUUUCCUGAAGCCUACUUUGCAAUUGUUGAAGUGAUUUGCCCACUCUAGAGAAGGUAUAUGAAGUGGAAAUGGAAUAUGAAGAGAUAUUCG